This 1042-nucleotide long non-coding RNA is filed under the name Lepisosteus oculatus (spotted gar). RNAcentral's name for it is "lncRNA (ENSLOCG00000022005.1)". Lineage: Eukaryota; Metazoa; Chordata; Actinopteri; Semionotiformes; Lepisosteidae. The record is from RNAcentral.
GUUCCCUUGGCUUUAUAAAGUGAGCCCUCUAAGCAAAGCCAGCAUCUGUCUCUUAGUCAGACUGCAAGAAAAACUUCACAAGCAGCAUUCUGGUGAGACUUUUACUUUUCUUUGACCUUAUUCCUAUAUAACCAUUGUACUUGAAUAUACCAUAUAUAUUAUACAUAUUUAGAUUCCAUUUCUACUUAUUAAUAUUAUUUAAAUGAAGAGUUUUAAAGGUUUGUUUUUGGCCGUGCAUAUUUUGAAUUUGUUCUUCUUUAAUUGAAAUUAAACUUCAGAACAAAGAGAUUUUUUUCAAUACAUUGUGAAGACUGAACUUCCGGUUAUUUUAUAUUAUUUGUCAUUUGUUAUAUACAAAUAGAAUUAUCCUACUUUAAAUUAAUUUUUAAUUGUAAUUCAGCAACCUAAUGAGUUUAUUUCUUAAUAUUUCUCUGUAUUUUGAGUCAACAUACAUCAGUGCUGUUUAUAUUCCAUACUUGUACAGAAAAGUAUAAUGUUUAGAAAUCUGAUCACUUUAAGACGUAACUAGAAUACAUGUAGGACAGGAUUUUGGUUUUCUUGUUUAGGAUGCAGACAUAAUGUAAAACAUAUCAAUAAGUAGUUGUUUUUUUAGGUUUGCUUUAUUCAGCAGCUCCCAAAAAUGGCUCAGUAUGAUGGUGACACAUACAAAAAAGACUCGUACAAGCUGUAUGAAGCUGUCGCUCAGGUUGCCAGUGACUCUCAUGUCCCAAACAUCGCCUACUGCACUGUGGCUGUGGUGGCUGCUCUUGGCAAGUUGAACCUGGUCAGGUGGGAUGUGAAAUCCACAAGGUGUAAAGAAAUGGGAAAUAAAGCCAACCGUUUUGACUUUGCCUUCAAAACGGCUAUCAAAGACAGCAAGGUGGACAUCAAAAAGGCAGAAUUCCAGUGUUACAAUGAGAAUUUCCAACCAUCAAGUGGUUACAAGAAUCUACUGAAGCAGCAGAAUAUUGACCUCAUACCUUUGAAGUUUGAUGACCUAGUGAAGACAGCAGAGCUUAUAAAUAUAAUGGUGAAAGAGAGG